RNAcentral lists this non-coding RNA (148 nucleotides) under pig gut metagenome. The record is from RNAcentral.
AAAAUUAGAAUUUCUUAGUAUUUCCCUCUGAGAUAGCAAUGGAUGGACAGGAUGUCCAGACAAGGUGUGUCCGAGCCAUGGACGGCGAGUACACACCGGUUGCGUCCAUCAUAAAUUACUUUUAGGAAAUACUUAGAAAUUCUUAUUU